UGGGGAAUAUUGCACAAUGGGCGAAAGCCUGAUGCAGCGACGCCGCGUGAGGGAUGACGGCCUUCGGGUUGUAAACCUCUUUCAGCAGGGAAGAAGCGAAAGUGACGGUACCUGCAGAAGAAGCGCCGGCUAACUACGUGCCAGCAGCCGCGGUAAUACGUAGGGCGCGAGCGUUGUCCGGAAUUAUUGGGCGUAAAGAGCUCGUAGGCGGUCUGUCGCGUCGGAUGUGAAAGCCGGGGCUUAACCCGGGUCGUGCAUUCGAUACGGGCAGACUAGAGUGUGGUAGGGGAGGAUCGGAAUUCCUGGUGUAGCGGUGAAAUGCGCAGAUAUCAGGAGGAACACCGGCGGCGAAGGCGGAUCUCUGGGCCAUUACUGACGCUGAGGAGCGAAAGCGUGGGGAGCGAACAGGAUUAGAUACCCUGGUAGUCCACGCCGUAAACGGUGGGAACUAGGUGUUGGCGACAUUCCACGUCGUCGGUGCCGCAGCUAACGC
RNAcentral lists this ribosomal RNA (493 nucleotides) under uncultured Actinomycetes bacterium. Its description in RNAcentral is "bacterial SSU rRNA". It matches the Rfam family "Bacterial small subunit ribosomal RNA", at positions 355 to 858 of the family's 1533-position model. Lineage: Bacteria; Bacillati; Actinomycetota; Actinomycetes. The record is from RNAcentral.